Molecule: ribosomal RNA, 467 nt
Filed under: uncultured bacterium
Lineage: Bacteria
Description: partial 16S ribosomal RNA
Rfam family: Bacterial small subunit ribosomal RNA
Source: RNAcentral
GAUGAACGCUGGCGGCGUGCUUAACACAUGCAAGUCGAACGAUGAGGCCCAGCUUGCUGGGUGGAUUAGUGGCGAACGGGUGAGUAACACGUGAGUAACCUGCCCUUGACUCUGGGAUAAGCCUGGGAAACUGGGUCUAAUACCGGAUACGACCAUUGCCCGCAUGGGUUGGUGGUGGAAAGCUUUUGUGGUUUUGGAUGGACUCGCGGCCUAUCAGCUUGUUGGUGAGGUAAUGGCUCACCAAGGCGACGACGGGUAGCCGGCCUGAGAGGGUGACCGGCCACACUGGGACUGAGACACGGCCCAGACUCCUACGGGAGGCAGCAGUGGGGAAUAUUGCACAAUGGGCGAAAGCCUGAUGCAGCGACGCCGCGUGAGGGAUGACGGCCUUCGGGUUGUAAACCUCUUUCAGUAGGGAAGAAGCGAGAGUGACGGUACCUGCAGAAGAAGCGCCGGCUAACUACGUG